CCGUAUAAAAGUUCUCACAUCAGAGAGCACCUCAUUCACUCGUCUUUGCUCUCUCUUCUCAGUGUUCCCAGCUACAUUCAGGGGCUCCCCGCACCAACUGAAAAAUGUGCUCCCGUGGAGACAGAGGCUGCCACCGUGCUGAGAGCUCCUCCUGCCACAGCGGAGGCUCCUCUUGCCACGAUAAGGAGAGAUCGUCCUGCCACGGCUCCGAGGAAGUCAUCUGCCAUGAAGUGAGGCCUGUGCCGGACGUGACACCGGUGGUGGUCCUCCCUCCUCAGGGCCCCGUGGUCACCCAGGUGCCAGUGGCCCCUGCCCCCUGCCAGCAGCAACAGCAGAUCAAGCAGCCGGUGCAGUGGCCCCCGCAGCAGCAGAAGUGAAGAAGCAAGGGCGAGCCCACGGUCAGCGCACACUACAGGGCUGCACUCUUUCCUCUUCUCCUCAAGAUGCAGCCCUGAGCUUGGGCAGGCCCUGCCGCUUCCAUCCAGCACAAAUAGUCUCUCCUUCUCCUAAUAAUGAAAAGUGGGAUUAACAUGUCAGAAAUGUGAUUUAUUCUCUCAUGUUCCAGUAUUUGAAUCCAUUGAUUUCCUGCUUCUGUCUCCAGUAGCAAAGAUAUGAUAUUAAAACCUAAAGCUCACAAAGUG
Molecule: long non-coding RNA, 641 nt
Organism: Dromaius novaehollandiae (emu)
Lineage: Eukaryota; Metazoa; Chordata; Aves; Casuariiformes; Dromaiidae
Exons: 2
Source: RefSeq, a predicted model, not a curated record